RNAcentral lists this ribosomal RNA (256 nucleotides) under uncultured bacterium. RNAcentral's name for it is "partial 16S ribosomal RNA". It matches the Rfam family "Bacterial small subunit ribosomal RNA", at positions 524 to 776 of the family's 1533-position model. The record is from RNAcentral.
UACGUAGGGUCCGAGCGUUGUCCGGAAUUAUUGGGCGUAAAGGGCUCGUAGGCGGUUCGUCACGUCGGGAGUGAAAACUCGGAGCUUAACUCCGAGCCUGCUUCCGAUACGGGCAGACUAGAGGUAGGCAGGGGAGAGUGGAAUUCCUGGUGUAGCGGUGAAAUGCGCAGAUAUCAGGAAGAACACCCGUGGCGAAAGGCGGCUCUCUGGAACGCAACUGACGCUGAGACGCGAAAAGCGUGGGGGAGCAAACAGG